CGCUGGCGGCGUGCCUAACACAUGCAAGUCGAACGGAGUAAGAUUUCGGAUUUACUUAGUGGCGAACGGGUGAGUAACGCGUGAACAACCUGCCUUUCUGAGGGGGAUAACACCUGGAAACAAGUGCUAAUACCGCAUAAGACCACAGAGCCGCAUGACUCAGGGGUCAAAGGAGUGAUCCGCAGGAAGAGGGGUUCGCGUCCCAUUAGCUAGUUGGCGGGGCAACGGCCCACCAAGGCGACGAUGGGUAGCCGAGCUGAGAGGCUGAUCGGCCACACUGGAACUGAGACACGGUCCAGACUCCUACGGGAGGCAGCAGUGGGGAAUAUUGGGCAAUGGGCGCAAGCCUGACCCAAGCAACGCCGCGUGAGGGAAGAAGGUCUUCGGAUUGUAAACCUCUGUCCUAUGUGACGAAGGAAGUGACGGUAGCAUAGGAGGAAGCCCCGGCUAACUACGUGCCAGCAGCCGC
This 469-nucleotide ribosomal RNA is filed under the name uncultured bacterium. RNAcentral describes it as "bacterial SSU rRNA". It matches the Rfam family "Bacterial small subunit ribosomal RNA", at positions 34 to 518 of the family's 1533-position model. The record is from RNAcentral.